UUUGCGAGCAGUAGUUCCUAUCAAAAAAUAUUGUUCAAAAUAACUGAGUAAUAUUUCGAGAUAGAAACCACUGCCGGCAUA
Non-coding RNA from Brugia malayi, 81 nucleotides. NCBI's taxonomy places the organism in Eukaryota, Metazoa, Nematoda, Chromadorea, Rhabditida, Onchocercidae. The record is from RefSeq and is a predicted model, not a curated record.